UAAUAUUGAUAUUACAUGUGCACAAGU
RNAcentral lists this small RNA (27 nucleotides) under Bombyx mori (domestic silkworm). Its description in RNAcentral is "ovarian small RNA-19622". The record is from RNAcentral. Lineage: Eukaryota; Metazoa; Arthropoda; Insecta; Lepidoptera; Bombycidae.